Molecule: ribosomal RNA, 385 nt
Filed under: Klebsiella pneumoniae
Lineage: Bacteria; Pseudomonadati; Pseudomonadota; Gammaproteobacteria; Enterobacterales; Enterobacteriaceae
Description: bacterial SSU rRNA
Rfam family: Bacterial small subunit ribosomal RNA
Source: RNAcentral
CGGGCGUCUUAACAUGCAAGUCGAGCGGUAGCACAGAGAGCUUGCUCUCGGGUGACGAGCGGCGGACGGGUGAGUAAUGUCUGGGAAACUGCCUGAUGGAGGGGGAUAACUACUGGAAACGGUAGCUAAUACCGCAUAACGUCGCAAGACCAAAGUGGGGGACCUUCGGGCCUCAUGCCAUCAGAUGUGCCCAGAUGGGAUUAGCUAGUAGGUGGGGUAACGGCUCACCUAGGCGACGAUCCCUAGCUGGUCUGAAAGGAUGACCAGCCACACUGGAACUGAGACACGGUCCAGACUCCUACGGGAGGCAGCAGUGGGGAAUAUUGCACAAUGGGCGCAAGCCUGAUGCAGCCAUGCCGCGUGUAUGAAGAAGGCCUUCGGGUUG